GAUCCUGGCUCAGGAUGAACGCUAGCUACAGGCUUAACACAUGCAAGUCGAGGGGAAACGACAUCGAAAGCUUGCUUUUGAUGGGCGUCGACCGGCGCACGGGUGAGUAACGCGUAUCCAACCUGCCCACCACUUGGGGAUAACCUUGCGAAAGUAAGACUAAUACCCAAUGACGUCUCUAGAAGACAUCUGAAAGAGAUUAAAGAUUUAUCGGUGAUGGAUGGGGAUGCGUCUGAUUAGCUUGUUGGCGGGGUAACGGCCCACCAAGGCAACGAUCAGUAGGGGUUCUGAGAGGAAGGUCCCCCACAUUGGAACUGAGACACGGUCCAAACUCCUACGGGAGGCAGCAGUGAGGAAUAUUGGUCAAUGGGCGAGAGCCUGAACCAGCCAAGUAGCGUGCAGGAUGACGGCCCUAUGGGUUGUAAACUGCUUUUAUAAGGGAAUAAAGUUAGUCUCGUGAGACUUUUUGCAUGUACCUUAUGAAUAAGGACCGGCUAAUUCCGUG
Molecule: ribosomal RNA, 505 nt
Filed under: uncultured bacterium
Lineage: Bacteria
Description: bacterial SSU rRNA
Rfam family: Bacterial small subunit ribosomal RNA
Source: RNAcentral